Molecule: unclassified non-coding RNA, 256 nt
Filed under: uncultured Ascomycota
Lineage: Eukaryota; Fungi; Ascomycota
Description: sequence contains ITS1
Source: RNAcentral
CGCUUGAACAACGCCACCGCCGAAACCUUUGCCCAUCCCGCCGCCCGCACCCGCGCCGCCGUCUCCAUCAGCGAACACCCUUCGGCCAGAUGCACCAGCAAACACCGCAACAGCGUCCCCGCAUCCCCAAUGCCCCGCCCACGACGCAAAGCGCCCAACGACUGGGCCGCGCCUUUCCAUCCCGGCGGAAAAUAACGAACCAGCAGUUGCCACUCGUCCGUCCGUACCGAACCAUCCCUGGCGUUCAUGCCCGCCA